UGUCACACAGGCUUAGAACAUCCCCUUUAACAUGUAUUAGCCCAUACGUUGUCUGCAAAAAUGGGAACCUUUAAGCAACUCCUAUGAACAACGCCCAUCUCGGCCAUCCUCCAUGACUCAGGAAUCUGCUCCUGGAUGCUAGCAUGUAUUUUCCACUUCCUUUCCCUGCAGUGUAUAUAACAGAAACGAAUCUGAGUGCUGACACAAUUGCUUCCAGAGCACGACGUGGGUGCAGCCACCCCGACUGACACAACCUGCGCUAAAACCACGGAUGUACAACGCAACGGCGGGUGUGGGGUUAAAGUCGUCCUCACAGCUGGAUAUACCAGGUCUUCAUCCUGCUGUCAAACCCACAUGCGGACAAAGCAACGUACUUGUCACCAAAAAGUAGGUCCAGCAAGGGAAAACUCUCACCUUACCUAGCGACUGGAUGAAAAACCUGCAGGGACUGGUCUCUAGUAGGACUCUCCAGUACAACACGGCAUAUUAAGCUACUCCUUAAUAAAUACACACCUUUUCAGCAGCUGUGAUAAAGCCUGUAACUUCCUGCAGCAGUCACUCACCUCUAUUUGGGCUUCAAAGGACUUGCUCUGAUACGAUAAAUAUUGAAAAUGUACCAUGCACAACUUAGUAUCACACAGGGUAGUAGAGCCAUUACCUUCAACAACAGCCUGACCGUACCUGACUACAGAGAGGUCACAGCUUGGGUUGUUACUCUGCUGUAGUAAAUUAAAAAGUUAUGUAUUAAUCAAGGUGAGCUAUGUCCAGCCUUACAGCAGUCACAGCAAAAGAUCCUAAUAAAAGCCCAGUCAGUCAAGGUUUGAUGCUUUAAAGUUACUUUACCUCCACUUUUUAUUCAUUUCUUCAAAUCUGGGAUAUGCCUUUAUGCUGAUGUGUUGCACAUUUAUAAUUCCAGCAUAUCCAUCAUCUCUGUACUUUUUAUUUGUCAGGUAAUUCCUUCCACCUGCAGCUCUCGAGUCAUUUCAGCUCUUGGGUAAGACCCCUACAACCUGCAGUGCUCCAGACAGACUAAAAGUCUCUGUUGUGCUUCCCCUGCUUUCUCAGUGACUUUGUUAGAGCCAAAACCCCAGCAAAUGCUAAUUAUGGUCUUAUGUACUUCUGCAGGAACACUAGCAAAAUGCAACCAUCUGACCAAGGUGAAGAUUAUUGUUUGCUGCAUGCACAGACACACUGAAGUUUAGGCAGAGUAGAUGAUGUGCCAUCCAACGAGUUGGAUGCAGACCACUGGGAAGCAACAGAGGCCUCGAGGGUCUGCCUGCUCACCUGCACAGCCCCCAGUCCCCAGAGCAGCGCUGGCCAUCGGUCCUCUCUGCGUACCUCAAGGAGGGUGGUUGUUACCAGUCUUUCAGGUAUCAUCGCAGAGUCGGCCCAUAGUGCAGUUCCAACUUUUUUGCUACAUACCUACCCAUCUACUCACCCACUCCUACCUCCUCUCUCUCACUUGCCAGUCUAAUUACCCUCCCACUCACAUUUUCUCUUACUCACUCACUAACCCACCCAUUUACAUGUUUUUCAUUCAUCUCCCCGUUCAGUUACACAACCUGAUCCUCAAACACCUUAAAUCCACUCACUAAUAGUAAUUUUACCUCCUAUGAUACACCCAUCCUCGCCUCUCUCAUCAACAUCCCUACCCUUCACCGAGCUUCCUGGUGGCUUGAAGGAAGAACGCUUACCACUCCGAGUUCCCAAGGUCCAUGGAGAUCCCUGAGGUCCAGCUCUCUGCGCCACACCAACGCCGACCCGCUCCUGGGAUCCCUUCCGAGCGAGCCGAACGCUUUCUGCCGACACGGAUGGCUGGGGGGGGAUCACACCUGUGCAGUGCUGGCGCUGGCCCUGCCUUUGCCAGCUUCCAGGCGGGCUGUGCCUCCGGCGGGCACGCAAUGCACACCCUUGCCCCCACCCUACAAAAAAAAAAAAAAAAAAAAAAACAACCUUUAUUUGGAGGCUUGCGACACAGCCCUCUCAUCCUUUGCGGCGUUCUGUAAGGAAAAACAGUAGUAAUGCUUCAGAAAGCAGAGGAGGUCUGGGGUAAAGGCGCUGGAUCGUGACCGUAGGCAGCUCUGAAGGGACUGGCUCUGGCCAGCGUGGCCAUGUGCUAGCUCAUACCGACCGGCCUGUCUCUCAUGGGGUGACAGCAAAAACAAUGCUUUGUUUGUCCUCUUCAGGGCCACAGAGUGUUUGGUUUUGGGGGGAUACUGAUCUAGCUCUUUGUGGUCAAGACAAGGGAAAACUUUGGAGACAGCCCUGCUUGGGUGCCCAAGGCUUCUGGUAGCAAAUAGCAAGCCCUGAAGAAGAAACAACAAACAGUUGUUUCCCACCUCCAAACGGCUGUUUCACCCCCCAAUAAGUGAAACUAUAGUAAGAAACAAUAGUUGAAGUGAAGAAACUUUGAGAAGAAGACAGUCUAAUGGAAAACGGGGAAAGACUCAAAUAACUACAGUACAACUUUCACUAUUUCUGUCACUAAUGGCAAACUGUAAUUUUUUCAUUUUCCCUGUAAUGCCCUCUACAGACUUGCUGCACACAUAAUUUCCUUGCAGUUUAAACGCCACAAGAGAGUUUAGGAGAGAAAAAAAAAAAAAAAAAAAAAAAAAAAAAUCACUGAACUUAUACUGGCAUAACUCGCCCAUAUUAAAACAUUUUAAUUUCUGAGCAAAAUUGGCCCUUCCAGGUAAUUUUCAACAAUUUCUCAAGUGACACCAUAACAGACCACACUUACACUAGAAUAAAAUAUGCAUCUGAGAAAUUAUACUGUAGCUGUUCAGUUUAAAACCUAUCUUUAAUCAAUGCAGUUUUCCCAAAUUCUGAAAAACUGAACAUACACCACUUAAGGUAAGUGGUAUAUCUAAUAUUCAAGAGCAGGUAACACUAUGCUGUUCAUAUUUACAGGCUGCUAACACCACAGGCAGAAUUACUGAAAGAUGAGAACGUAGACCUGACAUAAUAUGGUGAAACAAAGAAAUGGAAAAAUUUAGGCCAAAUAUCAGGCAAAGAAAAAUCUUGCCAUCAAACCUUGUGGAAAAGACUCCAGAAGAUAGAAGUGGAAGGCCAAGUUCUUAGAGUAUCUCUAGCCAUAAACCGCAGGGAAAAAAAAAAAAAUGUAGCAGAAAACAUGUACUGGCAAGAAGAUGGUCUGGAUGAUCUAAUGCACUUUCCAUCUCUAACAUCUAUGAUUCUGUAAUUCCGUAGAAGCGCUUAGCAGAGGGCUGGCAAACUUCUGUAGCAACUCAAUCGUCUGAUUAUUGUGUGAUUAAUCAAAGUGUUCAAUUAAAAGGAGGUCCUUGUAGCUGGAUGUUGUAGCUAUGCCACGCCACUCUCGUUCAAAGUUGCGCAUUGCACUGCCAGGAGAGAGCCUGAUCUGAAUGGCAGGCAUGCAGUAAUUACAGAGUUGUGAGUAGCUCUCCUAAAGAGGCAAAACAGAAUUUAAGUAAUUAAAGAGACAAUCAUUAUCUUUCUUGCAAAAUGCCCGGGGUCAACUUCUGACAGUGGAUUUGAUAAUACAGAGUUCAACUUUGUCAACAUUUAUGCAUGCAAAUAAAUUUACUUAUACACGCGA
Long non-coding RNA from Tyto alba (common barn owl), 3577 nucleotides. RefSeq lists it as uncharacterized. The record is from RefSeq and is a predicted model, not a curated record. Lineage: Eukaryota; Metazoa; Chordata; Aves; Strigiformes; Tytonidae. The transcript has 2 exons.